Molecule: ribosomal RNA, 354 nt
Filed under: bacterium enrichment culture DGGE gel band A30
Lineage: Bacteria
Description: bacterial SSU rRNA
Rfam family: Bacterial small subunit ribosomal RNA
Source: RNAcentral
UCAAGGUGAGCGGCGGACGGGUGAGUAACGCGUGGGAAUCUUCCCUUUUAUGCGGAACAACUCCGGGAAACGGGGGUUAAUACCGCAUACGCCCUUAGGGGGAAAGAUUUAUCGGGGAAGGAUCGGCCCGCGUUGGAUUAGGUAGUUGGUGGGGUAAUGGCCUACCAAGGCGACGAUCCAUAGCUGGUUUGAGAGGAUGAUCAGCCACACUGGGACUGAGACACGGCCCAGACUCCUACGGGAGGCAGCAGUGGGGAAUCUUGGACAAUGGGCGCAAGCCUGAUCCAGCCAUGCCGCGUGAGUGAUGAAGGCCUUAGGGUUGUAAAGCUCUUUCACCGGNGAAGAUAAUGACGG